RNAcentral lists this long non-coding RNA (1115 nucleotides) under Olea europaea subsp. europaea. The record is from RNAcentral. Lineage: Eukaryota; Viridiplantae; Streptophyta; Magnoliopsida; Lamiales; Oleaceae.
UUUAUCGAUACAAAUUACAAAUAUUAUAAGUCACAACUUAUUAUACAAUCACAAAUUAUCAAAUUAUCUAACACAUUAACAAUUUUUUAGGUCACACAUUUUUUUUUAUCACCAUUUAUCUUUUUCAUUGUUCACAUAUUGUAUAUUGGUCACAAAUUAAAAAAUUUAAUGGUCAUAGCCAACCAAAUAAUUUGUGACCAACACUUGCAAUCACUAUCUCACUAUUGCCUCAGCACCACCACCACCCCCGUCGUCGCUAGAACCACCCCACGGAAUCAUCACUAACUUGUGACUAACUGUGUUAUUUGUGAUUGGAUUUUUUUUUACCAAGUCUGUGUUUUAUGUGACUAAUUAUGAUCAACUUUGUCUUUAAUGUGAUUGUCUAAUUUGUGACUGUAUGUAAUCAAGUCAUUAACUUGUGUUUAUAUGUGAUUAACUGUGAUCAAAUUUAUUUUCAGUGUAAUUGUCUGUGACUGUCUAAUUUAUGAUUGUAUGUAACCGAGUCAUAUGUUAUCUAUGACUAACUGUGAUCAAAUUUAUUUUUAGUGUGAUUGUCUGUGACUGUAUGUAACCAAGUCACUAACAUGUGUUAUCUAUGACUAACUGUGAUCAAAUUUAUCUUCAAGAUGACUAAAUGUGAUCAAAUUUGUCUUUAAUGUAUCUAUCGGUGAUAAGAUCAAUCUUAACUGUGAUGGUAUGUAAUUAAGUCACAAUUAACAUAGAAUUGAUCAUAACCAAUCAUAAUAAUAAACAUAUAUUUGAUCACAUAUGAUCACCACAAAUAAAUCUGCAUACAUCGUAGACUAGCGCUACCAACCACCACCAUCAUAACCUCCAAUGCAUCACCACUACCACCUUCAACUCAAAUCCACAACCAUAAAUAAUACCUUCACCUCAAAUCCAUAAUAACAAUCAUCCCUACAAUGUCAAAUCCACAACAACAAUUAUCUCAAAUUUAUAACAACAAUCCACCACUAUUAUGUUACCAUUACCUUCGUCUACAAUCAUGUUUUCACCUUCGGCUUCUCUAUAAUGGCUACCAUUUUCCGCUCUUCACUUUCUCCUAACUAUCCAUGCUCAACCCCGCAUCGGCAUUUCAAGGUAAACACGUCCCU